CUCAAGAUAUAUGAAGUACUGGCAUGUUGGAUCGAUGUGGCUCUACAUUUGCUAAAACAAUUCUCAUUUUCUGAGAACAAAUCUGAAAUCAAUGAUUGUUAGAUUUUACUUGAAGCAUUUGUCUCAUAAGAAUGAGUUGGAUUGAGCUCAUGGCGUAUGACCAAAUGAAGAGUGAAGUUAGUUUAUCGAUGGUAUAAAUAUUGCAAACUUGAACUUUCCAAACUAUGGAUAAGAUAAGGUGUAAUAGGCAACUCAAUUGCAAUUAUCUUGGACUUCUUUUUACGUAAAGAACUUCUAUGUUUCAUUCAAUUAUGUAAGCAAGCACAAAAAUGUCUUGCCAAUGUUAACUUCAGCGGCUAGACAAGAAGGUCGGUAUUAUGUUUA
This is a long non-coding RNA of Solanum tuberosum (potato), 384 nucleotides long. RefSeq lists it as uncharacterized. The record is from RefSeq and is a predicted model, not a curated record. Lineage: Eukaryota; Viridiplantae; Streptophyta; Magnoliopsida; Solanales; Solanaceae. The transcript is spliced from 2 exons.